This is a non-coding RNA of Recurvomyces mirabilis, 107 nucleotides long. The record is from the annotation of a RefSeq genome assembly. Lineage: Eukaryota; Fungi; Ascomycota; Dothideomycetes; Mycosphaerellales; Teratosphaeriaceae.
GAUUAGCUCAGUUGGUUAGAGCGUGGUGCUAAUAGUGGAUGGCUUCACAGCCUGAUACUGAAACGCCAAGGUCGCGAGUUCGACGUAGGUUACAACCACAAUAUACU